GAUGUUGGGACACAGGCCAGCAAGCUUGUCCUCCCCAGCCACAGGAUUGCUUUAGCAUAAACUGAGACUCGCUGGCAGAAGCUUGCUUCCUUUUAAACACGGUAUUUUACAAGUUGAAAAGUCAAGAGGAGGAUGCCACGGCAGCUCGCAGGCUCCCUACACCAAAAGCAAAGCACUAACGGAAAACAGAAGCCAGCUCCGAACUGCUAAACGUGCAGGAAAUGCAAGGACAAAAAAUGGAGCAGAGA
This is a long non-coding RNA of Arvicanthis niloticus (Nile rat), 248 nucleotides long. RefSeq lists it as uncharacterized. NCBI's taxonomy places the organism in Eukaryota, Metazoa, Chordata, Mammalia, Rodentia, Muridae. The record is from RefSeq and is a predicted model, not a curated record.